RNAcentral lists this signal recognition particle RNA (299 nucleotides) under Oncorhynchus kisutch (coho salmon). Its description in RNAcentral is "Metazoan signal recognition particle RNA (ENSOKIG00005022560.1)". It matches the Rfam family "Metazoan signal recognition particle RNA". From Rfam's summary of the family: The signal recognition particle (SRP) is a universally conserved ribonucleoprotein. It is involved in the co-translational targeting of proteins to membranes. The eukaryotic SRP consists of a 300-nucleotide 7S RNA and six proteins: SRPs 72, 68, 54, 19, 14, and 9. Lineage: Eukaryota; Metazoa; Chordata; Actinopteri; Salmoniformes; Salmonidae. The record is from Rfam by way of RNAcentral.
GCCGGGUGCGGUGGCAUGUGCCUGUAAUCCAAGUCACUGGGAGGCUGAGGUUGGUGGAUCAAGUGAGCUGAGGAGCUCUGGGCUGCAGCACACUAUGUUGAACGGGUGUCCACGCUAAGUUCGGUAUCGAUAUGGUGUUCCAGGGGGAGCCCGGGACCACCAGGUUGUCUAAGGAGGGGUGAACCGGCCCAGGUCGGAAACGAAGCAGGUCAAAUCCCCCGUGCUGUCCAGUAGUUGGAUAAUACCUGUGAGUAGAUGCUGCAGUGCAGCCUUGGCAAAACAUCGGGACCUAAUCUUUU